AACAUUUUAAAACGGAUCUCUUGGCUCUAGCAUCGAUGAAGAACGCAGCGAACGCGAUAUGUAGUGUGAAUUGCAGAAUUCAGUGAAUCAUCGAAUCUUUGGAACGCACAUGGCGCCUUCAGUUAGUCCUGGGUUAGGUUAGGUUAGGGUUA
This 152-nucleotide ribosomal RNA is filed under the name Verticillium dahliae JR2. Its description in RNAcentral is "5.8S ribosomal RNA". It matches the Rfam family "5.8S ribosomal RNA". Rfam says of the family: 5.8S ribosomal RNA (5.8S rRNA) is a component of the large subunit of the eukaryotic ribosome. It is transcribed by RNA polymerase I as part of the 45S precursor that also contains 18S and 28S rRNA. The record is from RNAcentral. Lineage: Eukaryota; Fungi; Ascomycota; Sordariomycetes; Glomerellales; Plectosphaerellaceae.